This 137-nucleotide ribosomal RNA is filed under the name uncultured bacterium. Its description in RNAcentral is "partial 16S ribosomal RNA". It matches the Rfam family "Bacterial small subunit ribosomal RNA", at positions 355 to 509 of the family's 1533-position model. The record is from RNAcentral.
UGGGGGAUAUUGCACAAUGGGGGGAACCCUGAUGCAGCGACGCCGCGUGAAGGAAGAAGUAUCUCGGUAUGUAAACUUCUAUCAGCAGGGAAGAAAAUGACGGUACCUGACUAAGAAGCCCCGGCUAACUACGUGCC